UCCUACGGGGGGCUGCAGUGGGGAAUAUUGCACAAUGGGGGAAACCCUGAUGCAGCGACGCCGCGUGAGUGAAGAAGUAUUUCGGUAUGUAAAGCUCUAUCAGCAGGGAAGAUAAUGACGGUACCUGACUAAGAAGCCCCGGCUAACUACGUGCCAGCAGCCGCGGUAAUACGUAGGGGGCAAGCGUUAUCCGGAUUUACUGGGUGUAAAGGGAGCGUAGGCGGUCCAAUAAGUCUGGUGUGAAAGCCCGGGGCUCAACCCCGGGACUGCAUUGGAAACUAUCGGACUAGAGUGUCGGAGAGGUAAGUGGAAUUCCUAGUGUAGCGGUGAAAUGCGUAGAUAUUAGGAGGAACACCAGUGGCGAAGGCGACUUACUGGACGAUAACUGACGCUGAGGCUCGAAAGCGUGGGGAGCAAACAGGAUUAGAUACCCCUGUAGUCC
This 442-nucleotide ribosomal RNA is filed under the name uncultured Eubacteriales bacterium. RNAcentral describes it as "bacterial SSU rRNA". It matches the Rfam family "Bacterial small subunit ribosomal RNA", at positions 337 to 796 of the family's 1533-position model. Lineage: Bacteria; Bacillati; Bacillota; Clostridia; Eubacteriales. The record is from RNAcentral.